This 449-nucleotide ribosomal RNA is filed under the name uncultured bacterium. RNAcentral describes it as "partial 16S ribosomal RNA". It matches the Rfam family "Bacterial small subunit ribosomal RNA", at positions 354 to 796 of the family's 1533-position model. The record is from RNAcentral.
GUGGGGAAUCUUCCGCAAUGGACGAAAGUCUGACGGAGCGACGCCGCGUGAGUGAUGAAGGCCUUCGGGUCGUAAAGCUCUGUCAUCGGGGACGAACGGCCUCAGCAGGUAAUGGCUGGGGAUUGACGGUACCCGAGAAGGAAGCCCCGGCUAACUCCGUGCCAGCAGCCGCGGUAAUACGGAGGGGGCUAGCGUUGUUCGGAAUUAUUGGGCGUAAAGCGCGCGCAGGUGGGAUCUUAAGUCCAUUUUUAAAGUUCGGAGCUCAACUCCGUGAUGGGAUGGAAACUGGGAUUCUUGAGUACCGGAGAGGAAAGCGGAAUUCCCCGUGUAGCGGUGAAAUGCGUAGAUAUGGGGAGGAACACCAGUGGCGAAGGCGGCUUUCUGGACGGUGUCUGACACUGAGGCGCGAAAGCGUGGGGAGCAAACAGGAUUAGAUACCCGAGUAGUCC